UCUCAGUUCGGACUGUGGUCUGCAACCCGACCACACGAAGCUGGAAUCGCUAGUAAUCGCGAAUCAGAAUGUCGCGGUGAAUACGUUCCCGGGUCUUGUACACACCGCCCGUCACACCAUGGGAGUCAGCAACGCCCGAAGUCAGUGACCUAACCGAAAGGGAGGAGCUGCCGAAGGCGGGGCCGGUAACUGGGGUGAAGUCGUAACAAGGUAGC
This 215-nucleotide ribosomal RNA is filed under the name uncultured bacterium. Its description in RNAcentral is "partial 16S ribosomal RNA". It matches the Rfam family "Bacterial small subunit ribosomal RNA", at positions 1286 to 1500 of the family's 1533-position model. The record is from RNAcentral.